Sphaerodactylus townsendi is the source of this 4581-nucleotide RNA transcript. It is a transcript of the gene named potassium voltage-gated channel subfamily C member 2, with no coding region annotated. The transcript has 7 exons. The record is from RefSeq and is a predicted model, not a curated record. Lineage: Eukaryota; Metazoa; Chordata; Lepidosauria; Squamata; Sphaerodactylidae.
CCUCUAUCUUGCCAACUGACAGAACAGAGGUUUCCUAGCAGCAGGUGGGGAUGGCUUUCAUGGCUUUCGUAGCCGGUAGUCAAGGGCGCUGGAAUGGCUACCUGAAGAUGGGAGGGAAAAGAGCUCACAACAAGUAGUUCUUAGCUUCACACAGACGCGCACAGAUCGGCUGACUAGGACUCUGGCAGAAGCCGCUAAGGAAACAGCACUUGCUCUGUGAAGAAGAGCCUCCUAAGGGUCGUUUGUAAAAGCAACUUUGUGAUCCCUGAGAAGAAGCCGCGCGUUUGCCACUGAGCCUGAGGAACUUCAGGAGAGGACAGACAGGGAACUCAAGGGAUCCGAUAUUAGCAGGUGACCGUCAAUAGUAGAGGUCAGUAUUAUUCACGGAGAAGGGUGGAUAUAGACUGGGAGAAGGAGGGGAGAAAGGCAGGCUGCAUAAUCGGAGAGUAAGGAGAAACGAACGAGCAAGAAUGGGGGGGGGGGGGCUGGAACGAGAUGCUAAUGAAUGCAUGGAGAUUGGAGGGAGCCCCUCCCUCGACUGGGGAAAAGCGCCCGUGAUGCCCGAGCAUGUGUCUUCUCGGAAGGGCUUCGUCCCUCUUCCCGUUGGACGCGCUGGGUGCUCCCUGCAACAUCAUGUCAUGUCUGAGCCACAGGGAUGGGGAAGCUCGAGGAUAACGAGAGGGUGAUCCUCAACGUCGGCGGCACCAGGCACGAAACCUAUCGAAGCACCCUCAAGACUCUGCCGGGCACCCGCCUGGCUCUGCUCGCCUGCCAGUCCCAAGGCGAGUCCCCUGGCGGCGGAGAAGACCUGCCACUGCCGCUGCCGGCUCCCCUGCCGCUACUGCCCGCCCCUAACCCGGGCCCUGGCGCAGCCAAUCCUGGAGGAGGCUUCCCGGACGGAGCGGGCGGAAGCAGCUGCGGCAAUGGCGCCGCCGCUCCGAGUGGCGGGAACGGCGCGUGCUGCGAGUUCUUCUUCGACCGCCACCCGGGAGUCUUCGCCUACGUCCUCAACUACUACCGCACGGGCAAGUUGCACUGCCCCGCCGAUGUGUGCGGGCCGCUCUUCGAGGAGGAGUUGGCCUUCUGGGGCAUCGACGAGACCGACGUGGAGCCCUGCUGCUGGAUGACCUACAGGCAACACCGCGACGCCGAGGAGGCGCUCGACAUCUUCGAGGCGCCCGAUCUCAUCACCGGCGAGCCGCCGGGCGACCCAGACGACGACGACCUCGCCGCCAAGCGCCUGGGCUUCGAGGACAUGGGCGCCGUGGGGGCCUCCUCGUCGUCCUCCGCCAAUGGCUCUCCCCUCGACGGUCACGGUGGGCGCUGGAAGAGAUUGCAGCCGCGCAUGUGGGCGCUCUUCGAGGACCCCUACUCUUCCCGCGCCGCCAGGUUCAUUGCUUUUGGCUCUUUAUUCUUCAUCCUCCUUUCAAUCACAACCUUUUGCCUGGAAACCCAUGAAGCAUUUAAUACCAUCAUAAAUAAAACAGAUCCCACUCUCAACAGCACCGAAGUGAUUCUGCAGUAUGAAAUUGAGACAGAUCCUGCUCUGACAUAUGUUGAAGGAGUCUGUGUGGUGUGGUUUACAUUUGAAUUUUUAGUGCGUGUUGUGUUUUCACCCAACAAAAUUGAAUUCAUCAAAAACCUCUUGAAUAUCAUUGACUUUGUGGCAAUCUUGCCCUUCUAUCUAGAAGUGGGCCUCAGUGGGCUCUCCUCUAAAGCUGCUAAAGAUGUUCUUGGUUUCCUCAGGGUGGUGAGGUUUGUGAGAAUCCUGCGAAUCUUCAAGCUCACCCGACAUUUUGUAGGCCUCAGGGUGCUGGGUCACACAUUACGAGCGAGCACCAAUGAGUUUUUGCUGCUGAUAAUAUUUUUGGCAUUAGGAGUGUUGAUAUUUGCUACCAUGAUCUACUAUGCGGAGCGAAUAGGAGCCAAACCCAAUGACCCAUCAGCUAGUGCACACACAGAGUUUAAAAACAUCCCCAUUGGUUUCUGGUGGGCUGUGGUCACUAUGACCACUCUUGGGUAUGGAGACAUGUAUCCAAAGACAUGGUCAGGCAUGCUAGUGGGUGCUCUUUGUGCUUUGGCUGGGGUGCUGACGAUAGCUAUGCCUGUGCCUGUUAUUGUCAACAAUUUUGGAAUGUACUAUUCUCUAGCCAUGGCAAAGCAGAAGCUUCCAAGAAAGAGAAAGAAGCACAUACCACCUGCUCCUCAGGCAAAUUCCCCUACAUUUUGCAAGACAGACUUGAAUAUGGCCUGCAAUAGCACACAGGGGGAAAUCUGCCUUGGCAAAGAUAACCGGCUGAUGGAACACAAUAAAUCAGUGUUAUCAGGUGAAGACAGUACAGAAAGUGAACAGCCACUCUCACCUGUUGAAAGGCUCCCACCAAUGAGACGCUCUAGUACCAGAGACAAAAACAGAAGAGGGGGAACAUGUUUCCUACUGACAGCAGGUGAUUACGCGUGUGCUACUGAUGGAGGGAUCAGGAAAGGAUAUGAAAAGUCUCGAAGUUUAAACAACAUAGCUGGCAUGGCAGGCAAUGCUCUGAGACUGUCUCCAGUAACAUCACCCUACAGUUCACCUUGUCCUCUAAGACGCUCUCGAUCUCCCAUCCCAUCUAUCUUGUAAACCAGAUGACAUCAAUCGGCUAAGUAACAUUAUUGAAGUGCUGUUUAUCACUUUAUGGAAAGUGUAACAUUAACUGUAGUUUCCACUGAUACUAAUAUAAAUCUUGCAUGCUAUAAUUGACAGAAACAAGCAAUGCCACUGGGAUAGCCGAAGAUCCUUAUCUGAGUUUACAAUAUUCUCUAAAUGAGUGCUGUUUUCGUCUCACCUAUUUUGACCUACUCUACCAUGGCAAUAAAAGGACAGCUAAUGAACUUCACUGACCAGUAUAAAUAAAUGCACACACAUUUUUAAGAGAGAUAAUUAAAUAAAUGUGCUUCCAAUUGAUAAUCAUUUCACUGGACCUUCAUUUCUUGUGAUUCUAACCCAUUCUGAAGAUGUUUGAAAUCUUGUCUUGAUUGCAUACAGUGUCUCGUCAUUUUGAUCACUUGCAUGGACCAUACUGUCUCCAUCAUCUGAAAUAUGUCUUGCAAAUUAUUGGGACCACAGAUGACUCUGGAUUGUGUGUGUGUGUUGGGGGGGGGGUUGUGUGUGUACAUGUGUGUGUGUUUUUGCAUUGUACCAUUCUGCUGAAAUGAAAGCUGGUGAUCAAUCAGUCUGCAUGUGGGAUGGGGUUGUUUCUUGUGGGUCUUUUGUUGUUAUUUUUAUUUUAAUUUACUUUCAAUAAUGUUGUUACUUGAUUGGUUAGCUUUGGUGCUAGAGCGAUGUAUCAGAGUUCUGAAUGUUUCCGGUUGUUUACACACAGAUAACUGCAAAGAGGUUGUCAUUACUGGUUACACGCAAGCAGAGGCCAGAUCUCUUUCUUAAUGGCAUGGGAAGGCACAAAACAUGAAAGAAAGUGUUAUACAGAAUUUAUCAUGGAUUUUUGACUGCUGAAAAAAGGACACUGGAAUUUAGCCAUACCAAGGACUGUACUGGAAAGAGACUGAUCCUCCUGAAUGGGUCCUCAUAAGCACCUGAAACUUUGAAGAGCUUGUUAUGAGGAUUACAGAUGAAUUCCAAUUGCUGCUGCCAGCAGACGCAACUAUUAGUCACUAUUGAUGAGUCAGCUGUAAAUAAGAUGUGUGCAUGGAAUAUCAGCUUUAGUCAUCUAUGCCAAGGGAUGCUGAAUUCAAAGACAUCAUCUCUGAGACUUUGUGCAAAAAGGCCAAGACACCUCUUUAUGUAUUCUUCCUGGUCCCUACAGUAGAUCAUGCUGUGGAUCAUACAAAGGCACACAUGUUUUAACAAUAGUGAUGUAAAUGCUGUCUGUCGUAAGUUUCCUCAUAGCAACUGUAUUUUUGUAAAGUUUGUAAUUCAUGAACAUUAACUGCUUAGGAUUUUGCUAUAAGUCUUUGCUCAGUUUGCCAUUAUCUAUAUUUUUAUGAAUACUAGUGAAUAUGCCAACAUUUUGAUUAGUUUUGACUUGGAUAAAAGAUUUGUGACUUUAGAAAAAAAGUUUUUUAAAAAAUCACACUCUUUGUCCACAGUUCUAUAGGAACUUUUUAGUUUGUUUACUUCAUUAUUACCUCAAACUCUGAGUGCUGAGACAAAUAAAAUAUGGCAGUAAAAUAUUAUAGUUUUUUACUGAAACUAUCAGAAAAGCAACAUGAGUAAAUAUAAAAUAGGAAUUAAAUAUAUCCUAAAAAUGUAUAUUUUGCAUAAGAGAGAUAUUCUUUACCUUUUUGUCACUUUUGUGGUAAAUUGUUCUAGUCUAUUCUAUGUCUAUGAUGCUUUGUAGCUGGGUACUAUGUGAUAACUUAUGUUUUCUCUACCCUGUUCAAUGAGACCUUCUCCAGAAACUGUUUAUCACCCUGAUAUUUCAAAUGUAGGGACCUUUCCCACAUAUGAAACUCUGUAUUAUUGACCUUUUUGUGAACAUGUCAAGGUGCAUGCACAAGCCUGGUGGAAACCACUGGUCAUGUAACUAACAGAAAUGGAGAAUAAAAUGCAAAGAUCUGGGGAGGAAAUUGGAACACAUC